This 510-nucleotide ribosomal RNA is filed under the name uncultured bacterium. RNAcentral describes it as "partial 16S ribosomal RNA". It matches the Rfam family "Bacterial small subunit ribosomal RNA", at positions 28 to 507 of the family's 1533-position model. The record is from RNAcentral.
GACGAACGCUGGCGGCGUGCUUAACACAUGCAAGUCGAACGAAGAGCGAUGGAAGCUUGCUUCUAUCAAUCUUAGUGGCGAACGGGUGAGUAACGCGUAAUCAACCUGCCCUUCAGAGGGGGACAACAGUUGGAAACGACUGCUAAUACCGCAUACGAUCUAAUCUCGGCAUCGAGGAUAGAUGAAAGGUGGCCUCUACAUGUAAGCUAUCACUGAAGGAGGGGAUUGCGUCUGAUUAGCUAGUUGGAGGGGUAACGGCCCACCAAGGCGAUGAUCAGUAGCCGGUCUGAGAGGAUGAACGGCCACAUUGGGACUUGGAAACCGCCCAGACUCCUACGGGGGGCAGCAGGGGGGAAUCUUCCGAAAUGGACGAAAGGCUGACGGAGCAACGCCGCGUGAGUGAUGACGGCCUUCGGGUUGGAAAGCUCUGUUAAUCGGGACGAAAGGCCUUCUUGCGAAUAGGGAGAAGGAUUGACGGUACCGGAAGAGAAAGCCACGGCUAACUACGUG